Molecule: ribosomal RNA, 440 nt
Filed under: uncultured bacterium
Lineage: Bacteria
Description: partial 16S ribosomal RNA
Rfam family: Bacterial small subunit ribosomal RNA
Source: RNAcentral
CCUACGGGUGACAGCAGUGGGGAAUAUUGCGCAAUGGAGGAAACCCUGAUGCAGCGACGCCGCGUGAGUGAAGAAGGAUUUCGGUAUGUAAAGCUCUGUCAGCAGGGAAGAAAAUGACGGUAGCUGACCAAGAAGCCCCUGCUAACUACGUGCCAGCAGCCGCGGUAAUACGUAGGGGGCAAGCGUGAUCCGGAUUUACUGGGUGUAAAGGGAGCGUAGACGGCAGGGCAAGACUGGAGUGAAAGGCGGGGGCUCAACCCCCGGACUGCUCUGGAACCUGCGAGGCUGGAGGCCAGUAGAGGUAAGUGGAAUUCCAAGUGUAGGGGUGAAAUGCGUAGAUAUUAGGAGGAACAUCAGUGGCGAAGGCGGCUAACUGGACUGUAACUGACGUUGAGGCUCGAAAGCGUGGGGAGCAAACAGGAUUAGAUACCCUUGUAGUC